Long non-coding RNA from Lagopus muta (rock ptarmigan), 136 nucleotides. RefSeq lists it as uncharacterized. The transcript has 3 exons. The record is from RefSeq and is a predicted model, not a curated record. NCBI's taxonomy places the organism in Eukaryota, Metazoa, Chordata, Aves, Galliformes, Phasianidae.
CUCCUUCUGGUGUUUUGUGGUGAGCCCAACUAAAGUGAAAGAACAAACUGCAAAACAUGAGGAAGAGGAGAUGGAGAAGACUACAACUAUGUAAGGAGAUGCCAGCCCUGGGGUAUAUUGUAAAGGCUAAUCAGCC